RNAcentral lists this transfer RNA (68 nucleotides) under Lepas anatifera. RNAcentral's name for it is "tRNA-Leu". It matches the Rfam family "tRNA". Rfam says of the family: Transfer RNA (tRNA) molecules are approximately 80 nucleotides in length. Their secondary structure includes four short double-helical elements and three loops (D, anti-codon, and T loops). Further hydrogen bonds mediate the characteristic L-shaped molecular structure. tRNAs have two regions of fundamental functional importance: the anti-codon, which is responsible for specific mRNA codon recognition, and the 3' end, to which the tRNAs corresponding amino acid is attached (by aminoacyl-tRNA synthetases). tRNAs cope with the degeneracy of the genetic code in two manners: having more than one tRNA (with a specific anti-codon) for a particular amino acid; and 'wobble' base-pairing, i.e. permitting non-standard base-pairing at the 3rd anti-codon position. The record is from RNAcentral. Lineage: Eukaryota; Metazoa; Arthropoda; Thecostraca; Lepadidae.
UUUGAGAUGGCAGAUAAGUGCGAUGGAUUUAAGCUCCAUAUAUAAAGGUUUAAACCCUUUUCUUAAAA